GGGUUGUGAGGUUAAGCGACUAAGCGUACACGGUGGAUGCCCUGGCAGUCAGAGGCGAUGAAGGACGUGCUAAUCUGCGAAAAGCGUCGGUAAGGUGAUAUGAACCGUUAUAACCGGCGAUGUCCGAAUGGGGAAACCCAGUGCAAUUCGUUGCACUAUCGUUAACUGAAUACAUAGGUUAACGAGGCGAACCGGGGGAACUGAAACAUCUAAGUACCCCGAGGAAAAGAAAUCAACCGAGAUUCCCCCAGUAGCGGCGAGCGAACGGGGAGCAGCCCAGAGUCUGAAUCAGCUUGUGUGUUAGUGGAACGGUCUGGAAAGUCCGACGGUACAGGGUGAUAGUCCCGUACACCAAAAUGCACAGGUUGUGAACUCGAAGAGUAGGGCGGGACACGUGGUAUCCUGUCUGAAUAUGGGGGGACCAUCCUCCAAGGCUAAAUACUCCUGACUGACCGAUAGUGAACCAGUACCGUGAGGGAAAGGCGAAAAGAACCCCGGCGAGGGGAGUGAAAAAGAACCUGAAACCGUGUACGUACAAGCAGUGGGAGCACCUUCGGGUGUGACUGCGUACCUUUUGUAUAAUGGGUCAGCGACUUAUAUUCUGUAGCAAGGUUAACCGUAUAGGGGAGCCGCAGGGAAACCGAGUCUUAACUGGGCGUUAAGUUGCAGGGUAUAGACCCGAAACCCGGUGAUCUAGCCAUGGGCAGGUUGAAGGUUGGGUAACACUAACUGGAGGACCGAACCGACUAAUGUUGAAAAAUUAGCGGAUGACUUGUGGCUGGGGGUGAAAGGCCAAUCAAACCGGGAGAUAGCUGGUUCUCCCCGAAAGCUAUUUAGGUAGCGCCUCGUGAAUUCAUCUUCGGGGUAGAGCACUGUUUCGGCUAGGGGGUCAUCCCGACUUACCAACCCGAUGCAAACUACGAAUACCGAAGAAUGUUAUCACGGGAGACACACGGCGGGUGCUAACGUCCGUCGUGAAGAGGGAAACAACCCAGACCGCCAGCUAAGGUCCCAAAGUCAUGGUUAAGUGGGAAACGAUGUGGGAAGGCACAGACAGCCAGGAUGUUGGCUUAGAAGCAGCCAUCAUUUAAAGAAAGCGUAAUAGCUCACUGGUCGAGUCGGCCUGCGCGGAAGAUGUAACGGGGCUAAACCAUGCACCGAAGCUGCGGCAGCGACACUAUGUGUUGUUGGGUAGGGGAGCGUUCUGUAAGCCUGCGAAGGUGACCUGUGAGGGUUGCUGGAGGUAUCAGAAGUGCGAAUGCUGACAUAAGUAACGAUAAAGCGGGUGAAAAGCCCGCUCGCCGGAAGACCAAGGGUUCCUGUCCAACGUUAAUCGGGGCAGGGUGAGUCGACCCCUAAGGCGAGGCCGAAAGGCGUAGUCGAUGGGAAACAGGUUAAUAUUCCUGUACUUGGUGUUACUGCGAAGGGGGGACGGAGAAGGCUAUGUUAGCCGGGCGACGGUUGUCCCGGUUUAAGCAUGUAGGCUGGUUAUCCAGGCAAAUCCGGAUAAUCAAGGCUGAGGUGUGAUGACGAGGCACUACGGUGCUGAAGUAACAAAUGCCCUGCUUCCAGGAAAAGCCUCUAAGCAUCAGGUAACAUCAAAUCGUACCCCAAACCGACACAGGUGGUCAGGUAGAGAAUACCAAGGCGCUUGAGAGAACUCGGGUGAAGGAACUAGGCAAAAUGGUGCCGUAACUUCGGGAGAAGGCACGCUGGUGUGUAGGUGAAGCCCCUGCGGGUGGAGCUGAGACCAGUCGAAGAUACCAGCUGGCUGCAACUGUUUAUUAAAAACACAGCACUGUGCAAACACGAAAGUGGACGUAUACGGUGUGACGCCUGCCCGGUGCCGGAAGGUUAAUUGAUGGGGUUAUCCGUAAGGAGAAGCUCUUGAUCGAAGCCCCGGUAAACGGCGGCCGUAACUAUAACGGUCCUAAGGUAGCGAAAUUCCUUGUCGGGUAAGUUCCGACCUGCACGAAUGGCGUAAUGAUGGCCAGGCUGUCUCCACCCGAGACUCAGUGAAAUUGAACUCGCUGUGAAGAUGCAGUGUACCCGCGGCAAGACGGAAAGACCCCGUGAACCUUUACUAUAGCUUGACACUGAACAUUGAGCCUUGAUGUGUAGGAUAGGUGGGAGGCUUUGAAGCGUGGACGCCAGUCUGCGUGGAGCCAACCUUGAAAUACCACCCUUUAAUGUUUGAUGUUCUAACGUUGGCCCCUGACCGGGGUUGCGGACAGUGUCUGGUGGGUAGUUUGACUGGGGCGGUCUCCUCCCAAAGCGUAACGGAGGAGCACGAAGGUUAGCUAAUCCUGGUCGGACAUCAGGAGGUUAGUGCAAUGGCAUAAGCUAGCUUGACUGCGAGCGUGACGGCGCGAGCAGGUGCGAAAGCAGGUCAUAGUGAUCCGGUGGUUCUGAAUGGAAGGGCCAUCGCUCAACGGAUAAAAGGUACUCCGGGGAUAACAGGCUGAUACCGCCCAAGAGUUCAUAUCGACGGCGGUGUUUGGCACCUCGAUGUCGGCUCAUCACAUCCUGGGGCUGAAGUAGGUCCCAAGGGUAUGGCUGUUCGCCAUUUAAAGUGGUACGCGAGCUGGGUUUAGAACGUCGUGAGACAGUUCGGUCCCUAUCUGCCGUGGGCGCUGGAGAAUUGAGGGGGGCUGCUCCUAGUACGAGAGGACCGGAGUGGACGCAUCACUGGUGUUCGGGUUGUCAUGCCAAUGGCACUGCCCGGUAGCUAAAUGCGGAAGAGAUAAGUGCUGAAAGCAUCUAAGCACGAAACUUGCCCCGAGAUGAGUUCUCCCUGAGACUUUAAGUCUCCUGAAGGAACGUUAAAGACGAUGACGUUGAUAGGCCGGGUGUGUAAGCGCAGCGAUGCGUUGAGCUAACCGGUACUAAUGAACCGUGAGGCUUAACCUUACAACGCCGAAG
RNAcentral lists this ribosomal RNA (2922 nucleotides) under Klebsiella pneumoniae. RNAcentral describes it as "23S ribosomal RNA". It matches the Rfam family "Bacterial large subunit ribosomal RNA". Lineage: Bacteria; Pseudomonadati; Pseudomonadota; Gammaproteobacteria; Enterobacterales; Enterobacteriaceae. The record is from RNAcentral.